GGACUACCGGGGUUUCUAAUCCUGUUCGCUCCCCACGCUGUCGUGCCUCAGCGUCAGUAACAGCCUAGUCAGCUGCCUUCGCAAUCGGGGUUCUGGACCGUAUCUAUGCAUUUCACCGCUACUCGGUCCAUUCCGCCAACCUCGUCUGUACUCAAGCCUCACAGUAUCCAGGGCAGUUCCGUUGUUAAGCAACGGGCUUUCACCCCGGACUUAUCAGGCCGCCUACGCACCCUUUAAACCCAAUAAAUCCGGACAACGCUCGCACCCUCCGUAUUACCGCGGCUGCUGGCAC
RNAcentral lists this ribosomal RNA (292 nucleotides) under uncultured Bacteroidota bacterium. Its description in RNAcentral is "uncultured Bacteroidetes bacterium partial 16S ribosomal RNA". The record is from RNAcentral. Lineage: Bacteria; Pseudomonadati; Bacteroidota.